GCAGAUGUUGACUUUCACUUUCAGAUGUUCCCCACUUUCAACGCAGGCGUCCUGUUUAGUCUGCUUUGACACUGAAGGGGACGUGGCCAAGUUUGAAAUCCAGCGUAUGUGAGCAGGGAGUGGUUGUGUGUGAAGAACAGAGCAAAACCCCCAACGGAAGUCAGGCUUCGUUCCAUUCUCAAAAGACAACAACACAAACACCAAAGACACAAAGACACAAGGUAAGGCAAGCUGUUCAUAUGUGCAGUUGCUCUUAUUAAGCAUUUAGUAAGCUACUAUCAGCAGGCCUUAGUUCUUCAUGAAGUAUGCAGUUGAACUUGAACUGGCAGAUGAGAAGGAGCUGAUGCAGAAAGAUUUAAAAUGGUGUUGAUAGAUAAAGGGUUCAUAAAGUAAUGGAAAAAAACCUGGGGAAAAACCCUGGAAUUUUAAAAUAGCAAUUUCGAGGCCGGAUGAAGUUUUGGAUAAAUAAAUAGGACCAGAAAGUUUUGGAAAAGUAAUGAAAAUGUGCUUCACAAAUACCUUUAUAUUUCAUAGGCCUAUAUGUGGUUCAGUUAAAAUCGACUGAAAAUAAAUCUAUAUUGGUUAAACAAUUCUUAUAUAUUCGGGGACCUUGACAUGAACGUAGACAUUUGCCUGACAUUCACCUUAUAGCUGGUUAUCUUUCUUAGUAAAUGAAGUUCUUAAAUGCAGAUUGAUUACAACAAAGGCACAUUGUUAGUCCACCGUUCAUCUUGCAUGGAGAUUUCAGAAUAAGUCCCUGGACCGUUCAAGCGUACUGAAGGGUAAUUUGUGUAUUGUACGUAAAAUAUGGGUUAAGUUUAAGGGCAGGUAUGGUUAACAUUUAAAAACAUAUUCAUAUUUUAAGUUCACUUUUCUUUAAAAAAGGGAUUGCUUGUCACGUUACGCGAAAUUAUCGGACGAGGCGGAGGCAAAGAAGUUUAAAAAAGAAAGCAGCCUGUUUAGAUCCUAGUAGCCUACUACUUUAUGUAGUCACAGACAAUGACAACGUUGCUUAAUUUGCUUGAUUACAGUUGAUUCCACUUUUGCUAAGCCCGAAACUUUUAGCUUGACAGCAGUUUCUGAUUCUAUGCUCGCUGGUUCUACAGAUGUUAGAUAACCACCUAAUUCAUCGCGAACACCGCUUGGCAAAAUGAGAGAAUAGGCUACGUUUAUUUUGUCCCUUUCGUUUGAACACCCACUCAAGAAGCCUCGAUAUAUGGGCAGCUUUUGAAUCAACUGUUAUUUACUAUGGUGGUUAUUGUUACUUUUCAAAGUUUCCAGAGCAUUGCGUUCCGUUCUGCAUUAUACACUACUCCCCGUGUCCUGUUUAGGGAGUGUUGGUUAAGGGAACCUCUGUGGGCGUGACUUUACGGGUUUACGGGGUUCCGAUGUGCCUGGGACGGGUAUCCAAUCUCUACAAUCCACGCUAA
Long non-coding RNA from Clupea harengus (Atlantic herring), 1430 nucleotides. The record is from Ensembl. Lineage: Eukaryota; Metazoa; Chordata; Actinopteri; Clupeiformes; Clupeidae.